GCGUGUGUGAAGAAGGCCUUAUGGUUGUAAAGCACUUUACUGCGACGAGGAUGCUACUUUAGAUUAAUACCUACUAGAUAGUGGACGUUACUCCGCAGAUAUAUAGCAGCCAGGCUAACUCUGUGCCAGCAGCCGCGGUAAUACAGAGGGUGCAAGCGUUAAUCGGAUUUACUGGGCGUAAAGCGCGCGUAGGCGGCUAAUUGAGUCAAAUGUGAAAUCCCCGAGCUUAACUUGGGAAUUGCAUUCGAUACUGGUUAGCUAGAGUGUGGGAGAGGAUGGUAGAAUUCCAGGUGUAGCGGUGAAAUGCGUAGAGAUCUGGAGGAAUACCGAUGGCGAAGGCAGCCAUCUGGCCUAACACUGACGCUGAGGUGCGAAAGCAUGGGGAGCAAACAGGAUUAGAUACCCUGGUAGUCCAUGCCGUAAACGAUGUCUACUAGCCGUUGGGGCCUUUGAGGCUUUAGUGGCGCAGCUAACGCGAUAAGUAGACCGCCUGGGGAGUACGGUCGCAAGACUAAAAAUCAAAUGAAUUGACGGGGGCCCGACAAGCGGUGGAA
Molecule: ribosomal RNA, 554 nt
Filed under: uncultured bacterium
Lineage: Bacteria
Description: bacterial SSU rRNA
Rfam family: Bacterial small subunit ribosomal RNA
Source: RNAcentral